AUGUCCGUUAUCUCUGCCAGGAAGACAAGCCAAGUUAUCCUUCAGACAGGAAAUGGGAUGUUGGUGGUGGCCCCAAGAAGUGCACAGACUCUGAACUGGAAGAUGAGAGACCACUGUGGAAGGGAUCCAGAGACAAAUGAACAGAACUGGUGUCAGUAUUCUGUGCUCCUGAGACACCUGAGCUCAUCUCCAAGGACUUUCUACCACUUCAUUUUGGAAACAACCUAAAUGUCCAUUGACAGAGGAGUGGAUCCAGAAGAUGUGGUACAUAUACACAAUGGAAUAUUACGCAGCCAUCAAAAAGAACGAAAUACCAGCAUUUUUAGCAACAUGGAUGGACCUAGAAACUGUCAUCGCUAAGUGAAGCCAGCCAUACAAUGAGACACCAACAUCAAAUGCUUUCACUGACAUGUAGAAUUUGAAAAAAGGACAGACGGAUCUUCUUUGCAGAACAGAUGCUGACUCACAGACAUUGAAAAACUUAUGGUCUCUGGAGGAGACAGAUUGGGGGGUGGGGGAAUGUGCUUGGGCUGUGGGAUGGAAAUACUGUGAAAUCAGAUUGUUAUGAUCAUUAUACAACUACAGAUGUGAUAAGCUCAUUUGAGUAAUAAAAAAAAAAAGAAUAUUACA
This 630-nucleotide long non-coding RNA is filed under the name Sus scrofa (pig). RNAcentral describes it as "lncRNA (ENSSSCG00025000477.1)". Lineage: Eukaryota; Metazoa; Chordata; Mammalia; Artiodactyla; Suidae. The record is from RNAcentral.